UACGUAGGGCGCAAGCGUUGUCCGGAAUUAUUGGGCGUAAAGAGCUCGUAGGCGGCUUGUCGCGUCGUCCGUGAAAACUUGGGGCUCAACCCCAAGCUUGCGGUCGAUACGGGCAGGCUAGAGUUCGGUAGGGGAGACUGGAAUUCCUGGUGUAGCGGUGAAAUGCGCAGAUAUCAGGAGGAACACCGGUGGCGAAGGCGGGUCUCUGGGCCGAUACUGACGCUGAGGAGCGAAAGCGUGGGGAGCGAACAGG
Molecule: ribosomal RNA, 253 nt
Filed under: uncultured bacterium
Lineage: Bacteria
Description: partial 16S ribosomal RNA
Rfam family: Bacterial small subunit ribosomal RNA
Source: RNAcentral